GACGAACGCUGGCGGCGUGCUUAACACAUGCAAGUCGAGGGCGGGGAGCAAUCCCCGACCGGCGAACGGGUGCGUAACACGUGAGCGACCUACCUCCCCGCGGGGGAUAGCCGGCCCAAC
Molecule: ribosomal RNA, 120 nt
Filed under: uncultured bacterium
Lineage: Bacteria
Description: partial 16S ribosomal RNA
Rfam family: Bacterial small subunit ribosomal RNA
Source: RNAcentral